Molecule: ribosomal RNA, 387 nt
Filed under: uncultured bacterium
Lineage: Bacteria
Description: bacterial SSU rRNA
Rfam family: Bacterial small subunit ribosomal RNA
Source: RNAcentral
UGAACGCUAGCGGCAGGCUUAAUACAUGCAAGUCGAACGGCAAGUUUGGUAGCAAUACUAGACCUAGAGUGACGUACGGGUGCGUAACACGUAUGCAACCUACCCUUUACAGGAGGAUAGCUCGGGGAAACUCGAAUUAACCCUCCAUGAUAUAAUUGAGUGGCAUCAUUUGAUUAUUAAAACUCAGGUGGUAAAGGAUGGGCAUGCGUCUGAUUAGUUAGUUGGCGGGGUAACGGCCCACCAAGACGAUGAUCAGUAGGGGACCUGAGAGGGUGAUCCCCCACACUGGCACUGAGAUACGGGCCAGACUCCUACGGGAGGCAGCAGUAGGGAAUAUUGCACAAUGGGCGCAAGCCUGAUGCAGCAACGCCGCGUGAGGGACGACGG